CUGAAAAUUUUAAAUGGCCGCAGUAUCCUAACUGUGCAAAGGUAGCAUAAUCAUUAGUCUUUUAAUUGAAGGCUGGUAUGAAUGGUUGGACGAGGUAUUAACUGUUUCAAAUAUAUUUAUUAUAGAAUUUUAUUUUUUAGUCAAAAAGCUAAAAUAAAAUUAAAAGACGAGAAGACCCUAUAAAUCUUUACUUUAUUAUUUAUGUUAAUUAUAUAGAUAUAUUUUGUUAUGAUAAAUAAUAAAGUUUUAUUGGGGUGAUAUUAAAAUUUAAUAAACUUUUAAUUUAAAAUUACAUAAAUUAAUGAAUUAUUGAUCCAUUAAUAAUGAUUAAAAAUUUAAGUUACUUUAGGGAUAACAGCGUAAUUUUUUUGGAGAGUUCUUAUCGAUAAAAAAGAUUGCGACCUCGAAGUUGGAUUAAGAAAAAAUUUAGG
Molecule: ribosomal RNA, 431 nt
Filed under: Brachythoracosepsis freidbergi
Lineage: Eukaryota; Metazoa; Arthropoda; Insecta; Diptera; Sepsidae
Description: partial 16S ribosomal RNA
Source: RNAcentral